GCCUGCAGCUUGCUGCGGGUACUCGAGUGGCGAACGGGUGAGUAACACGUGGGUGAUCUGCCUUGCACUUCGGGAUAAGCUUGGGAAACUGGGUCUAAUACCGGAUAGGACAGCUGUUUAGUGUCAGUUGUGGAAAGUUUUUUCGGUGCAAGAUGAGCUCGCGGCCUGUCAGCUUGUUGGUGGGGUAAUGGCCUACCAAGGCGUCGACGGGUAGCCGGCCUGAGAGGGUGUACGGCCACAUUGGGACUGAGAUACGGCCCAGACUCCUACGGGAGGCAGCAGUGGGGAAUAUUGCACAAUGGGCGGAAGCCUGAUGCAGCGACGCCGCGUGGGGGAUGAAGGCCUUCGGGUUGUAAACUCCUUUCGACAGGGACGAAGCGUAAGUGACGGUACCUGUAUAAGAAGCACCGGCUAACUACGUGCCAGCAGCCGCGGUAAUACGUAGGGUGCGAGCGUUGUCCGGAAUUACUGGGCGUAAAGAGCUCGUAGGUGGUUUGUCGCGUCGUCUGUGAAAUUCCGGGGCUUAACUCCGGGCGUGCAGGCGAUACGGGCUGACUUGAGUGCUGUAGGGGAGACUGGAAUUCCUGGUGUAGCGGUGAAAUGCGCAGAUAUCAGGAGGAACACCGAUGGCGAAGGCAGGUCUCUGGGCAGUAACUGACGCUGAGGAGCGAAAGCAUGGGUAGCGAACAGGAUUAGAUACCCUGGUAGUCCAUGCCGUAAACGGUGGGCGCUAGGUGUAGGGGGCUUCCACGUCUUCUGUGCCGUAGCUAACGCAUUAAGCGCCCCGCCUGGGGAGUACGCCGCAAGGCUA
RNAcentral lists this ribosomal RNA (811 nucleotides) under uncultured Actinomycetes bacterium. RNAcentral's name for it is "bacterial SSU rRNA". It matches the Rfam family "Bacterial small subunit ribosomal RNA", at positions 71 to 896 of the family's 1533-position model. Lineage: Bacteria; Bacillati; Actinomycetota; Actinomycetes. The record is from RNAcentral.